GCCCAACAGCUAGCCCACCUAAACAAUUUCAACAAGCCCCUGUUAAUAACCCCUAAAUACCCCAGUAUUUAAAUUAAACAAACCAUUUUUCCCCCUUAGUAUAGGCGAUAGAAAAGGGACUACGGCGCAAUAGAGAAAGUACCGCAAGGGAAUGCUGAAAGAGAAAUGAAAUAACCCAGUAAAGCCUGAAAAAGCAGAGAUUUAAACUCGUACCUUUUGCAUCAUGAUUUAGCGAGUGUACCCCAAGCAAAGAGAACUUUAGUUUGACGUCCCGAAACUACGUGAGCUACUCCAAGACAGCCUAUUAAUAGGGCGUACCCGUCUCUGUGGCAAAAGAGUGGGGAGAGCUUUGAGUAGAGGUGAUAAACCUACCGAACCUAGUUAUAGCUGGUUGUCCAAGAAAUGAAUAGAAGUUCAGCCUCUUGGCUUCUCUUUUCACCCUAGUUUAACCCCUAUUGAUGCAUCAAAGAAACCGAGAGAGUUAGUCAAAGGGGGUACAGCCCCUUUGAAUCAAGACACAACUUUACCAGGAGGGU
Molecule: ribosomal RNA, 536 nt
Filed under: Radulinopsis derjavini
Lineage: Eukaryota; Metazoa; Chordata; Actinopteri; Perciformes; Cottidae
Description: partial 16S ribosomal RNA
Rfam family: Bacterial large subunit ribosomal RNA
Source: RNAcentral